AUUGAACGCUGGCGGCAUGCCUUACACAUGCAAGUCGAACGGCAGCACGGGAGCAAUCCUGGUGGCGAGUGGCGAACGGGUGAGUAAUAUAUCGGAACGUGCCCAGUCGUGGGGGAUAACGUAGCGAAAGCUACGCUAAUACCGCAUACGAUCUAUGGAUGAAAGCGGGGGAUCGCAAGACCUCGCGCGAUUGGAGCGGCCGAUAUCAGAUUAGGUAGUUGGUGAGGUAAAGGCUCACCAAGCCGACGAUCUGUAGCUGGUCUGAGAGGACGACCAGCCACACUGGGACUGAGACACGGCCCAGACUCCUACGGGAGGCAGCAGUGGGGAAUUUUUGGGACAAUGGGCGCAAGCCUGAUCCAGCAAUGCCGCGUGCAGGAUGAAGGCCUCGGUUGUAACU
Molecule: ribosomal RNA, 400 nt
Filed under: uncultured bacterium
Lineage: Bacteria
Description: bacterial SSU rRNA
Rfam family: Bacterial small subunit ribosomal RNA
Source: RNAcentral